This 137-nucleotide small RNA is filed under the name Arabidopsis thaliana (thale cress). RNAcentral's name for it is "ATSL020310". The record is from RNAcentral. Lineage: Eukaryota; Viridiplantae; Streptophyta; Magnoliopsida; Brassicales; Brassicaceae.
UCCUCUGACUUUGGAAAUCAGAUUCUGGUAAAACUCAGCUGCUUUUGACAGAAACAACUUGAAUGCUUUCAUAUGCUUGGCAUGAUCAUUUGUUUUAAGGCCUUUACGAAACUCAUCGAUGUGUUUAUAGUGGAGUU